GAUGAACGCUGGCGGCGUGCCUAAUACAUGCAAGUCGAGCGAACAGACGAUGAGCUUGCUCCUCUGACGUUAGCGGCGGACGUGUGAGUAACACGUGGAUAACCUACCUAUAAUACUGGUAUAACUUCGGGAAACCGGAUCUAAUACCGGAUAAUAUAUUGAACCGCAUUGUUCAAUAGUGAAAUACGGUUUUUCUGUCUCUUAUAGAUGGAUCCGCGCCGCAUUAGCUAGUUGGUAAGGUAACGGCUUACCAAGGCGACGAUGCGUAGCCGACCUGAGAGGGUGAUCGGCCACACUGGAAGUGAGACACGGUCCAGACUACUACGGGAGGAAGCAGAAGGGAAUAGUCCGCAAUGGGCGAAAGCAUGACGGAGAAAAGACGCGUGAGAGAUGAAGGUCUUCGGAUCGUAAAAAUCUGUUAUUAGGGAAGAACAAAUGUGUAAGUAAAUAUGCACGUAUUGACGGUAACGAAUCAGAAAGCAACGGCUAACUACGUG
Molecule: ribosomal RNA, 497 nt
Filed under: uncultured bacterium
Lineage: Bacteria
Description: partial 16S ribosomal RNA
Rfam family: Bacterial small subunit ribosomal RNA
Source: RNAcentral